RNAcentral lists this long non-coding RNA (588 nucleotides) under Homo sapiens (human). RNAcentral's name for it is "HSALNT0008434". The record is from RNAcentral. Lineage: Eukaryota; Metazoa; Chordata; Mammalia; Primates; Hominidae.
AUGCUGGGAAGCUCACCUACAUAGACACAAAAUACGUGGUACAUGUGAAGAGUUAAAGAAUUUGACACCAAUUUUACAUAUGUGCAACAGUCAGAAUUCUACUUGGAGCCAAACAUUAAGUACGUAUUUCAAGUGAGAUGUCAAGAAACAGGCAAAAGGUACUGGCAGCCUUGGAGUUCACUGUUUUUUCAUAAAACACCUGAAACAGUCCCCAGGUCACAUCAAAAGCAUUCCAACAUGACACAUGGAAUUCUGGGCUAACAGUUGCUUCCAUCUCUACAGGGCACCUUACUUCUGCAACAGAGGAGACAUUGGACUUUUAUUGGGAAUGAUCGUCUUUGCUGUUAUGUUGUCAAUUCUUUCUUUGAUUGGGAUAUUUAACAGAUCAUUCCGAACUGGAUUAAAAGAAGGAUCUUAUUGUUAAUACCAAAGUGGCUUUAUGAAGAUAUUCCUAAUAUGAAAAACAGCAAUGUUGUGAAAAUGCUACAGAAAAUAGUGAACUUAUGAAUAAUAAUUCCAGUGAGCAGGUCCUAUAUGUUGAUCCCAUGAUUACAGAGAUAAAAGAAAUCUUCAUCCCAGAACACAAGC